GGGCCUGUAGCUCAAUUGGUAGAGCACCGCCUUUGCAAGGCGGGGGUCAGGGGUUCGAUUCCCCUCAGGUCCA
This 73-nucleotide transfer RNA is filed under the name Amycolatopsis sulphurea. It matches the Rfam family "tRNA". Rfam says of the family: Transfer RNA (tRNA) molecules are approximately 80 nucleotides in length. RNAcentral also lists the same sequence under 24 other names. The record is from Rfam by way of RNAcentral. Lineage: Bacteria; Bacillati; Actinomycetota; Actinomycetes; Pseudonocardiales; Pseudonocardiaceae.